UAUGGAGAGUUUGAUCCUGGCUCAGGACGAACGCUGGCGGCGUGCCUUACACAUGCAAGUCGUGCGAGAACGGUUCCUUCGGGAACCUAGUAGAGCGGCGAACGGGUGAGUAAUACGUGAGCGAUCUGCCCGAGGGUGGGGGAUACCCCAGGGAAACCUGGACCAAUACCGCGUACAGCGUCGGGAGUGGGUGCCCGACGUGAAAGCCGGCCUCUUCUAUGCUGGCGCCCUCGGAUGAGCUCGCGGCCUAUCAGCUUGUUGGUGGGGUAACGGCCUACCAAGGCUAUGACGGGUAGCUGACGUGAGAGCGUGAUCAGCCACAUUGGGACUGAGACACGGCCCAGACUCCUACGGGAGGCAGCAGUGGGGAAUAUUGGA
Molecule: ribosomal RNA, 378 nt
Filed under: Candidatus Palauibacter irciniicola
Lineage: Bacteria; Pseudomonadati; Gemmatimonadota; Gemmatimonadia; Candidatus Palauibacterales; Candidatus Palauibacteraceae
Description: bacterial SSU rRNA
Rfam family: Bacterial small subunit ribosomal RNA
Source: RNAcentral